GAAGAGGUAAACUAUGGCAUAAAAAGGUAGCCACAAUAGGGCAUAAAUUAAGUCAGAAUUGCUUCAAAGAGGCGUAUAUGUAUGUAUGACAAUAACAUGUUACCAUUUAGCAGUGCUCGAAUUAAAUGUAAGGACAACAAUAGCCAAAUGUAUAAAAAUCCUUUAAAUCAUAAAGGGUCCAUUAGAACUUGAUUUGGCCACAGGUUUGAUUACAAAAAUAUACCUAUUGAUGAAAAUAAAAAAAAAUACUCACAAGAGCACGUUAGAGGUGCUACCUGAUGUACUUAAUAAAGC
RNAcentral lists this long non-coding RNA (294 nucleotides) under Capsicum annuum. Its description in RNAcentral is "long non-coding RNA (CANN_LNC011731)". The record is from RNAcentral. Lineage: Eukaryota; Viridiplantae; Streptophyta; Magnoliopsida; Solanales; Solanaceae.